RNAcentral lists this ribosomal RNA (253 nucleotides) under uncultured bacterium. Its description in RNAcentral is "partial 16S ribosomal RNA". It matches the Rfam family "Bacterial small subunit ribosomal RNA", at positions 524 to 776 of the family's 1533-position model. The record is from RNAcentral.
GACAGAGGUCCCGAGCGUUAGGCGGAAUCACUGGGCUUAAAGCGUGUGUAGGCGGAUCGUUAAGUGCCUUGUGAAAUCCCACGGCUUAACCGUGGAACUGCUGGGCAUACUGGGAGUCUUGAGCCAGCUAGGGGCUACCGGAACAAAUGGUGGAGCGGUGAAAUGCGUAGAUAUCAUUUGGAACGCCAAUGGUGAAAACAGGUAGCUGGGGCUGUGCUGACGCUGAGACACGAAAGCCAGGGGAGCGAACGGG